Molecule: long non-coding RNA, 277 nt
Filed under: Numida meleagris (helmeted guineafowl)
Lineage: Eukaryota; Metazoa; Chordata; Aves; Galliformes; Numididae
Description: lncRNA (ENSNMEG00000017388.1)
Source: RNAcentral
GAUUUUAGUAAUGGGUUAUUGUUACAAACUUGUUUGGAUUGGAUUAUCUGCAGCUAUCCUAAUUCUGAUUUAACUACAGUUCUUGAAGUUGCGUGCCUUCUCCAAUUCCACAGAAGCAUCAGAAGACUUAAUACAGUAGUUGCAUUAUAAACAGAGAGGAAAAUAUCUGCAGCCUGAUAUACAUCCAGCCUUUCCGUAAAAUGUGCCUAAGCCUAUUUGAACAAGAAAGACCAAGGAAUCACUUGUGUCCUGCUUGAUAACUGCCCCAUCCUUUGUU